AGAUAGAGUUUGAUCCUGGCUCAGUAGAAAUCUGAUCCUGCAUCAGGAUGACCGCUGGCGGCGUGGUUAACACAUGCAAGUCUUAUGAUGAUACCAGCGGACGGGGGGAUAAUGGGCGAACGUGUGAGUGACACGUGAGUAACAUGCCCUUGACUGUUGGAUAAGCCUGGGAAACUUGGUCUAAUACAAGAUAUGACUGUUUGACGCAUGUCAGGUCAGGAAAGCUUAGGUGGUUUUGGAUGGACUCGCGGCCAAUCAGUUUGCUGGUGGGGUAAUGGCCUACCAAGGGGACGACGGGUAGCCGGCCUGAGAGGGUGACCGGCCACACUGGGACUGAGACACGGCCCAGACUCCUACGGGAGGCAGCAGUGGGGAAUAUUGCACAAUGGGCGCAAGCCUGAUGCAGCGACGCCGCGUGAGGGAUGACGGCCUUCGGGUUGUAAACCUCUUUCAGUAGGGAAGAAGCAAAAUUGACGGUACCGGCAGAAGAAGCGCCGGCUAACUACGUGCCAGCAGCCGCGGUAAUACGUAGGGCGCAAGCGUUAUCCGGAAUUAUUGGGCGUAAAGAGCUCGUAGGCGGUUUGUCGAGUCUGCUGUGAAAGACCCGGGCUCAACCUCGGUUCUGCAUUGGGAACGGGCAGACUAGAGUGCAGUAGGGGAGAGUGGAAUUCCUGGUGUAGCGGUGAAAUGCGCAGAUAUCAGGAGGAACACCGGUGGCGAAGGCGAGCCAUCCUGGGCUGUUACGACGACGCGGAGCGAAAGCAGGAGUACCUU
RNAcentral lists this ribosomal RNA (774 nucleotides) under Paenarthrobacter nitroguajacolicus. Its description in RNAcentral is "bacterial SSU rRNA". It matches the Rfam family "Bacterial small subunit ribosomal RNA", at positions 1 to 771 of the family's 1533-position model. Lineage: Bacteria; Bacillati; Actinomycetota; Actinomycetes; Micrococcales; Micrococcaceae. The record is from RNAcentral.